Molecule: ribosomal RNA, 253 nt
Filed under: uncultured bacterium
Lineage: Bacteria
Description: partial 16S ribosomal RNA
Rfam family: Bacterial small subunit ribosomal RNA
Source: RNAcentral
UACGUAGGGUGCGAGCGUUAAUCGGAAUUACUGGGCGUAAAGCGCGCGUAGGCGGCCUGCUAAGUCGAACGUGAAAUCCCUGGGCUCAACCCAGGAACUGCGUCCGAUACUGGUUGGCUUGAAUCCGGGAGAGGGAUGUGGAAUUCCAGGUGUAGCGGUGAAAUGCGUAGAUAUCUGGAGGAACACCGGUGGCGAAGGCGACAUCCUGGACCGGUAUUGACGCUGAGACACGAAAGCGUGGGGAGCAAACAGG